Molecule: long non-coding RNA, 745 nt
Filed under: Homo sapiens (human)
Lineage: Eukaryota; Metazoa; Chordata; Mammalia; Primates; Hominidae
Description: non-protein coding lnc-TSPY10-6:1
Source: RNAcentral
AGGCCGGCGGGCUCCUCCGGGAGCUUCCUCUAGAGUCUAGGGGUGCUAGGGAGGUGAGAUGGGGGGUGCAGGCCUUAAUCUGUGGGAGCCUCAAGGAGGGCACUGUGUUAAGGCUUUAGGCUCUGCAGGAGAGGGCGGACUGUGUGAGAGCAGGGAGGCAACCCUGCGGGAGGAGGCAUGGCAGUGGGGGAUGACACCAUGGCAGAGAUGGAGGUGGUGACCAAGGAGGCCAAUGUGGAGCGGCAGUUGGAGGACUAGCAGGCAUAGCCUGGCCCAGGCCCCAGUACGCCACGGCCCACAACAGACUCUCUGGACGUCCUUCACUUGGAGCUGGACUCCGUGAAUGCCGCAGGCUGCAGGGCAAUUGUGCGGCACACGCAGAUGUUGGCCAGGAUCACAAAUGAUAAUGAAGUCAGUCUUCCUAAGCUACUUGACGGAUUUGUAGGUCAGGGAGAGGAACACAGCCAUCCUGAGUACCAGUGGCAGGAUGAAGUUUUCCUUUCAUCAUAACCUUUAUUUCCACAAUGAAGGUAUCAUUAAGGGAUAUUGUGUUGGCAUCCUCUGAUACAGGGUAUCUCAUUCCACUGCAGUCCAGUGGUUGUGGCAUCCUGAAGGUCAAUGCUGCAGGCAGUUACACCUCCUACCUGAGCUUUUUCAGCUGGUUGGCUGACCAUGGGUGCCCAGGUUCUGGCAGAAUAGCUGAGUCCCCCAGAUCGUCAGCCAGGGCCUGUGCUCAAUACCCUGC